UAAUACAUGCAAGUCGAGCGAACAGACGAGGAGCUUGCUCCUCUGACGUUAGCGGCGGACGGGUGAGUAACACGUGGAUAACCUACCUAUAAGACUGGGAUAACUUCGGGAAACCGGAGCUAAUACCGGAUAAUAUAUUGAACCGCAUGGUUCAAUAGUGAAAGACGGUUUUGCUGUCACUUAUAGAUGGAUCCGCGCCGCAUUAGCUAGUUGGUAAGGUAACGGCUUACCAAGGCAACGAUGCGUAGCCGACCUGAGAGGGUGAUCGGCCACACUGGAACUGAGACACGGUCCAGACUCCUACAGGAGGCAGCAGUAGGGAGUCUUCCGCAAUGGGCGAAAGCCUGACGGAGCAACGCCGCGUGAGUGAUGAAGGUCUUCGGAUCGUAAAACUCUGUUAUUAGGGAAGAACAAAUGUGUAAGUAACUAUGCACGUCUUGACGGUACCUAAUCAGAAAGCCACGGCUAACUACGUGCCAGCAGCCGCGGUAAUACGUAGGUGGCAAGCGUUAUCCGGAAUUAUUGGGCGUAAAGCGCGCGUAGGCGGUUUUUUAAGUCUGAUGUGAAAGCCCACGGCUCAACCGUGGAGGGUCAUUGGAAACUGGAAAACUUGAGUGCAGAAGAGGAAAGUGGAAUUCCAUGUGUAGCGGUGAAAUGCGCAGAGAUAUGGAGGGACACCAGUGGCGAAGGCGACUUUCUGGUCUGUAACUGACGCUGAUGUGCGAAAGCG
This 730-nucleotide ribosomal RNA is filed under the name uncultured Staphylococcus sp. Its description in RNAcentral is "bacterial SSU rRNA". It matches the Rfam family "Bacterial small subunit ribosomal RNA", at positions 49 to 761 of the family's 1533-position model. The record is from RNAcentral. Lineage: Bacteria; Bacillati; Bacillota; Bacilli; Caryophanales; Staphylococcaceae.